RNAcentral lists this ribosomal RNA (465 nucleotides) under Vreelandella stevensii. Its description in RNAcentral is "partial 16S ribosomal RNA". It matches the Rfam family "Bacterial small subunit ribosomal RNA", at positions 338 to 795 of the family's 1533-position model. The record is from RNAcentral. Lineage: Bacteria; Pseudomonadati; Pseudomonadota; Gammaproteobacteria; Oceanospirillales; Halomonadaceae.
CCUACGGGGGGCUGCAGUGGGGAAUAUUGGACAAUGGGGGCAACCCUGAUCCAGCCAUGCCGCGUGUGUGAAGAAGGCCCUCGGGUCGUAAAGCACUUUCAGUGAGGAAGAACGCCUGGUGGUUAAUACCCAUCAGGAAAGACAUCACUCACAGAAGAAGCACCGGCUAACUCCGUGCCAGCAGCCGCGGUAAUACGGAGGGUGCGAGCGUUAAUCGGAAUUACUGGGCGUAAAGCGCGCGUAGGUGGCUGGAUAAGCCGGUUGUGAAAGCCCCGGGCUCAACCUGGGAACGGCAUCCGGAACUGUCAGGCUAGAGUACAGGAGGGGAAAGUAGAAUACUCGGUGUAGCGGUGAAAUGCGUAGAGAUCGAGAGGAAUACCAGUGGCGAAGGCGAGCUUCUGGACUGACACUGACGCUGAGGCACGAAAGCGUGGGUAGCAAACAGGAUUAGAUACCCCAGUAGUC